Molecule: non-coding RNA, 127 nt
Organism: Hordeum vulgare subsp. vulgare (domesticated barley)
Lineage: Eukaryota; Viridiplantae; Streptophyta; Magnoliopsida; Poales; Poaceae
Source: Rfam
UUUGUACUCCUUCCGUCCAAAAAAAUACUUAUCAUAGAAAUGAAUACAUCUAGAUGUAUUUUAGUUUUAGAUAUAUUCAUUUUUAUAAAUUUAUGUGAUAAGUAAUUCCGGACGGAGGGAGUACCUU